CAGGGAUGGUGAUGCCCAACCAAUAAAUUGGCCAACUGACAGCAUACCCAGAUUUGCUGAAACAUUUCAGUAAAGGCGGAGGCAUUGAGCACAAUUACGGUUAUCGUACUGCCGA
Non-coding RNA from Linepithema humile (Argentine ant), 115 nucleotides. NCBI's taxonomy places the organism in Eukaryota, Metazoa, Arthropoda, Insecta, Hymenoptera, Formicidae. The record is from RefSeq and is a predicted model, not a curated record.